CGCCUGUAGUCACCAAUAUUACAGGUAAAACCUGCCCGGUGAACCAUUUAAACGGCCGCGGUAUCCUGACCGUGCAAAGGUAGCAUAAUCAUUUGCCCCCUAAUUAGGGGCUAGCAUGAAUGGUCAAACGAGAUUAUAGCUGUCUCUUCCAAGACCCUAAAAAUUUUUCUUCAGGUGAAGAAACCUGUAUUAAUAUAAAAGACAAAAAGACCCUGUCGAGCUUUAAUUCUUUAUAAACGCUGUAUAAUAUAUACACUCCCCUGUAAUCAAUGUUUGUUGGGGCGACAACGGAAAACACAAAACCUCCGUAACACUCAAGACCACAAGUCUUACCAUGGAUCCCCUAAAGGACAAUCGGCACCAGCUACCGCAGGGAUAACAGACUAAUCCCUCUCAAGAGCCCAAAUCAACAGAGGGGGUUGGCACCUCGAUGUUGGCUUAGGAAUACUCUUAGAUGCAGAAGUUUAAGAAGUAGGUUUGUUCAACCUUUAAUAUCCU
Molecule: ribosomal RNA, 498 nt
Filed under: Palola sp. AS-2005
Lineage: Eukaryota; Metazoa; Annelida; Polychaeta; Eunicida; Eunicidae
Description: partial 16S ribosomal RNA
Rfam family: Bacterial large subunit ribosomal RNA
Source: RNAcentral